AAGACUAUAGACCUGCGGAGUACCAGCGGAGGGAUCAUUAACGUAUCUAUGAUGGGGUGCGGAGCGCCCUGCUCCGGUCGAACGGCCGUGCAGCGGGUGCGCCGCCCCCGUCCCACCUCACAAACCCACUGUGAACAUUCACCGGUGGAGGGGGCUCGGUCUGCGCCGUGUCCCCGAUGCCGAAUACCCAAACUCCAGUUGCAAAGAACGUCGUGCGGACUCGGUGCCGCCUAAAACAUG
This 240-nucleotide unclassified non-coding RNA is filed under the name soil metagenome. RNAcentral describes it as "partial contains 5.8S ribosomal RNA, internal transcribed spacer 2, and large subunit ribosomal RNA". The record is from RNAcentral.